Molecule: long non-coding RNA, 349 nt
Filed under: Citrus maxima (pomelo)
Lineage: Eukaryota; Viridiplantae; Streptophyta; Magnoliopsida; Sapindales; Rutaceae
Description: long non-coding RNA (CMAX_LNC000351)
Source: RNAcentral
UUUUCUGAUUUGGCUUUAACCCAUCAUACUGGCUGGCAUUUUUAAAAGACUCCACAACUGAUUCAGCUCUUGCUACUAAUCUGGCUGGAGCCUCUUGUUUCCCUUCAAAAAGCCACUUAUUCCUAGCGUUCCAUAUCACCCAAAGUAGAGCUGCAACUGAUUCCUUCUCCACAUUUUUUUGCUGCUUUGUCAUAUCUUCCAUCAAUCUAAUUAUAUCAUGGAAUUGACCUUCUGGAGGGCUCCCUUCCGAUUUGAAAAGAGUCGGAAUUUAUUACUGAUUGUGGAUUGAGGACUUCGAAUGGUUGUGCUGCACUUAAUCGAUAAAGGAAAGGGGCUUGGCAAAACGAUG